RNAcentral lists this ribosomal RNA (253 nucleotides) under uncultured bacterium. Its description in RNAcentral is "partial 16S ribosomal RNA". It matches the Rfam family "Bacterial small subunit ribosomal RNA", at positions 524 to 776 of the family's 1533-position model. The record is from RNAcentral.
UACGUAGGGUGCGAGCGUUGUCCGGAAUUAUUGGGCGUAAAGAGCUUGUAGGCGGUUUGUCGCGUCUGCCGUGAAAAUCCGGGGCUCAACCCCGGACUUGCGGUGGGUACGGGCAGACUAGAGUGUGGUAGGGGAGACUGGAAUUCCUGGUGUAGCGGUGAAAUGCGCAGAUAUCAGGGGGAACACCGAUGGCGAAGGCAGGUCUCUGGGCCACUACUGACGCUGAGAAGCGAAAGCGUGGGGAGCGAACAGG